Carya illinoinensis is the source of this 762-nucleotide long non-coding RNA. RefSeq lists it as uncharacterized. NCBI's taxonomy places the organism in Eukaryota, Viridiplantae, Streptophyta, Magnoliopsida, Fagales, Juglandaceae. The record is from RefSeq and is a predicted model, not a curated record. The transcript has 2 exons.
UCCGAUUUUAAAAAUAAAAAAAUUAGAACUGGAUCGAUUUUGACCGGUUUUAAGAAAAAUAAACCGGUACCAGAUUGAACCAAACUCGAGACUGAACCGAUCCCACCGGUUUGGUCUUGUCCGGUCCGAUUGACUGGUUUAUCAACUUUUUUUUACACCCCUACCUGGGGCCAGAUAAUCAAAGUUAGACCAUUGACUUUGAUUUGUUUAAUCGCCAUUUGUACGAUCUUACCGUCUGUACAAGCUAGCAUGCAUCAAAGUCAGAGUGUAACCUAAUAGAAUUGCUAGAGAGUGGGAAAUCAAUAUUUUCCCAUUCAAACAAAGCUGCAGUUAUCUAAUCAAAUGUCGUGCUGAAUCUUGAUGUAAGGCCAGAGAACCUGUAUAAAUAUACCUCCCCAUAUAACCCCAUUUGCGUUCAUCUUAUAUCCAAUAGUAACAUGCGAUGCAGCUCGGUUCACUCAAGAAGUUACAGGACCCAUAUGUCCUGCUUGUGUAUGUUGCAGACCUGCACCACCGGGGUCUUGUUGCCAAUGUUGCGCUACUCCCAUCGAGACACAAUCCGAGAAUGGGCCUCCCUAAGCUUAGUACCGAUAUCUAUCUUUCAGAUGCUGUCGAGACCUGUGCGGGCAGCAAGAUAUAGAUAUAUCGUGAGUAAAAUGUAUUUCUGCAGUCUACACACCACUUUAAUUAGUUCUGAAAAUAAAUUACUGUUUGUUUUCUGUAAUCAAAUGAAAUGAUUCAUGAAUAAAAAGGGCUUUCUAA